UCGAGAAUUUUUCUCAAUGGGCGAAAGCUUGAAGGAGCGACGCCGCGUGGGGGAUGAAGGGCUUCGGCUCGUAAACCCCUGUCAUUUGCGAUCAAACCUUUCCGGUUAACAGCCGGGAAGCUGAUAGUAGCGAAAGAGGAAGGGACGGCUAACUCUGUGCCAGCAGCCGCGGUAAUACAGAGGUCCCAAGCGUUGUUCGGAUUUACUGGGCGUAAAGGGUGCGUAGGUGGUCGGGCAAGUUUGAUGUGAAAUCUCCGGGCUCAACUCGGAAAAUGCAUUGAAUACUGCCUGGCUUGAGGUUCGGAGGGGAGACUGGAAUUCUCGGUGUAGCGGUGAAAUGCGUAGAUAUCGAGAGGAACACCGGUGGCGAAAGCGAGUCUCUGGACGAAUUCUGACGCUGAGGCACGAAAGCUAGGGGAUCAAACAGG
This 428-nucleotide ribosomal RNA is filed under the name uncultured bacterium. RNAcentral describes it as "bacterial SSU rRNA". It matches the Rfam family "Bacterial small subunit ribosomal RNA", at positions 355 to 776 of the family's 1533-position model. The record is from RNAcentral.